GUUGGUUGUUUCUUUAUAAAAAAAAUGGUAUCUUGAAGUGGACUGUUUGAAUACAUUAUCAUGUUGUUGAUUUGAAUGUCCCUUCUUUACUUGUCAGUUGUCACCAUUUAUGUCAUAUUACAAGCAAUAGCAACAAUAUGAUAGGUGAUACAAUCGCCUAUAAAUCUUGAUAGCUUUUGAUGGUCGACUGGUUUUUUGAAAUAAAUGGUAUAUUUGAAGUGGGUUUUCUUCUUUAUUCUUGAAUUUUAUAACUAGUUUUUGUUCUCGAUACCGUUUUAUGUCAGUAUGCUUUUUAUUGAAUUCUUUGGACCCGUUACAGUAUGUUUUUCAAUGUAAUUUGAAGACCCUUUAUGUCAGUAUGCUUUCGAUGUAAUCUAUUGGCCCUUUCUCUCAGAGUCUCAGUAUACUUUCGAGAAUUUCGAACUCUUUAUGUCGGUAUGCUUUCGAUGUAAUCUAUGGACCCUUUCCCUCAGUAUGAUUUCAAGAAUUUCGGACCCUUUAUGUCAGUAUGCUUUUGAUGUAAUCUAUGGGCCCUAACCCUCAGUAUGCUUUCAAUAAUUUUGGACCCUUUAUGUCGGUAUGCUUUCGAUGUAAUCUAUGGACCCUUUCCCUCAGUAUGCUUUCAAGAAAUUCGGACCCUUUAUGUCAGUAUGCUUUCAAUGUAAUCUAUGGACCCUUUCCCUCAGUAUGCUUUCAAGAAUAUGUCAGUAUGCUUUCGAUGUAAUAUAUGGACCCUUUCCUUCAGUAUGCUUUCAAGAAUUUCGGACCCUUUAUGUCAGUAUGCUUUCGGUGUAAUCUGUGGACCCUUUCCCUCAGUAUACUUUCAAGAAUUUUGGACCCUUUGUGUCAGUAUGCUUUCCAUAUCAUCUAUGGACCUUUUCCCUCAGUAUAAUUUCAAGAAUGUUGGAUGGUCUUCACAGACUGUACGGUAAUCACAUUAAAUUGAUGAUUUGCCUAAUAUUGUUCAUUCGAUGAUUUGUUAUUUUUGUCAAAGACUCAAAGCUCUGCUUUUGAAAAUUCCUCAUGUAAACAAUGAUCGUUUGCCGCUAUGAUAUAUGAUGUAAACAAUUGUCCCUUUUUCAAGAAACUCGGAUUUGAUCUUCCUUAUAUUAGGAGUUCAUAUCAGCGGUUCCAGGUUUUCUGUGAAGUAUCAAGUUACAUUCUUGCAGCGGAGGUUAUGCUAUGGCAAAGCACAUGAUUUUUUGGUAAUACAAGGACCCUUUAUGUAAGUAUGCUUUUGAUGUAAUCUAUUGACCCUUUGCCUCAGUAUACUUUCAAAUUUUGGACCCUUUAUGUCAGUAUGCUUUCAAAGUAAUCUAUGGACCCUUUCCCUCAGUAUAAUUUCAAGAAUGUUGGAUGGUCUUUACAGAGUGUACGGUAAUCACAUUACUUUGAUGAUUUGCCUAAUAUUGUUCAAUCGAUGAUUUGGUAUUUUUGUCGAAGACUCAAAGCUCUGCUUUUGAAAAUUCCUCAUGUAAACGAUCAACUUAUGUGACUAUGCUAUAUGAUGUAAACAAUUGUCCCUUUCUCAAGAAACUUUGAUUUUUGAUCUUCUUUACAUAAGGAGUUCAUAUCAGCGGUCCCAGGUAUUGUGAAGUAUCAAGUUACAUUCUUGCUGCAGAGGUUAUAUGCUAUGGCAAAGCACAUGAACUUGGUAAUCUAAGGACCCUUUGUGUCAGUAUGCUUUCGAUGUAAUCUAUGGACCCUUUCCCUCAGUAUACUUUCAAGAUUUUCGACCCUUUUAUGUCAGUAUGCUUUCGAUGUAACUUCAAGAAUGUUGGAUGGUCUCUACAGACUGUACGGUAAUCACAUUACAUUGAUGAUAUGCCUAAUAUUGUUCAAUCCAUGAUUUGGUAUCUUUGUCAAAGACUCAAAGCUCCGAUUCUGAAAAUUCCUCAUAUAAACGAUGAACUUUUGCAACUAUGCUAUCUGAUGUAAACUAUUGUCCCUUUUACAAGAAACUUUGAUCUGAUCUUCCUUAUAUAAGGAGUUUAUAUCAGCGGUUCCAGGUUUUGUGUGAAGUAUCAAGUUACAUUCUUGCUGCAGAGUUUAUGCUAUGGCAAAGCACAUGAUUUUUUUGUUGCUAGUUAUGGUGAAUAACGAUUACGUAAGAUUAUGGUUGAGCAAGGUGUUUACCUUUUUAAGUCUAACGAUGUUGUCACCGGUUGCUCGUUCGAGUAAGGUUUACUUGUAAGUUUUAAAUCGCUGGUUACUUAAUAGCUGGGUCUGAUGGUUCAUAGUCUCAACUCUCAAGAAACUUUGAGUUGAUCUUCCUUAUAUGAUGAGUUCAUAUCAGCUGUUCCGAGCUCUUUGUGAGUAUUACACAUCAUUUGGAAAGCCAUUUGGUCAGGCAGGUGGAUAUUUCUAGUUGCUGCUUCAUUGGUGUGCAGCAUAGUCAUUACUAGACUGUGGAUAUAUCUAGUUGCUGCUUCAUUGGUGUGCAGCAUAGUCAUUACUAGACUGCUAUACAACAAGCUACUUCUGCUUGUGUGCUUCGUUGCUGACUUGCAUGUUCCUUGUUGUAUAAGCGGCUGGAGCUAGCAGGAAUUCUUGUCUACGUGUCUACAUGUCAUCGUUUUCUUCCUCUGAAGUUUUAUUUAUACCUAUAGUCUUAGGUGGUAGGUUACAUUCUGCUUCAAGGUUAUAGUAGGGAACAUCCAUUGGGUUAUGGGAUCAUGUGACAACGUAUUCAAGGUCCGGCUUAUUGGUUUCUAACAUAGUGUAUGGGUGCCUAUAAUGGCCGGCAAUCCGGCACGUCGUUAAUGGAUUUAGAAGGAAUACCUGUUGACUGGAUCUUUGCUGUUGGCUAAUCCCGGUUCUUCUAUAGUUCUAUGGUUAUAUGUAGUCAUUGACGCGUGUUUGGUUUUUUUGUACCUUUUAAAGGCAUGAGAAUCUGUUGACUUGUCCUGUUUAUGUAUCCAGAUAAAAAAGGCUCUGCAAUCAACUCUUCGAUUUCUAGAGACCUUGGUUAGUUGCCCUAACACUCUGCAUGUUGUUUGUACUUUGUACAAAUCUUUCUUUCCUUGUCACCUGCUUUUCGUUGAAGGUUCCUUUUCUUGGUUGGUUGUCUCAGAUAUUUUUGGAUAUUCUUACCUUAGUUAUUGUAUUAUUUGUGUCACACGGAUUCAUUAGAGAUACAUGUGGAUUAAUAUACAGUUGUCAAGUCUGUGUUUGUUUAAUAUACAUUGUGCUAUGCAGUUCCGGAUUUGCACCCAAUAGCUACUGGUUACUCGUCACAAACUGCCGGACAUUUUGUUACACUAGUUUAUGUUUGUUGUCUUUUUGGUGUUAUGGCACAAAAUAGCAGUAUAACCAGCAACAGGUGAAGAUAUAAAUUAAGUAAUUGGAUUUUUAAUCUGUAAAUAGGGAGAGAUUUCGAAUUAUAGAUUUUGUUUGCUUUGAA
Molecule: long non-coding RNA, 3403 nt
Organism: Erigeron canadensis
Lineage: Eukaryota; Viridiplantae; Streptophyta; Magnoliopsida; Asterales; Asteraceae
Exons: 6
Source: RefSeq, a predicted model, not a curated record